CCUACGGGUGGCAGCAGUGAGGAAUAUUGGUCAAUGGACGAGAGUCUGAACCAGCCAAGUAGCGUGAAGGAUGACUGCCCUAUGGGUUGUAAACUUCUUUUAUAAAGGAAUAAAACGAGGCACGUGUGCCCUUUUGCAUGUACUCUAUGAAUAAGGAUCGGCUAACUCCGUGCCAGCAGCCGCGGUAAUACGGAGGAUCCGAGCGUUAUCCGGAUUUAUUGGGUUUAAAGGGAGCGUAGAUGGGUUGUUAAGUCAGUUGUGAAAGUUUGCGGCUCAACCGUAAAAUUGCAAUUGAUACUGGCAGUCUUGAGUGCAGUUGAGGUAGGCGGAAUGCGUGGUGUAGCGGUGAAAUGCUUAGAUAUCACGAAGAACCCCGAUUGCGAAGGCAGCUUACUAAGCUGUGACUGACAUUGAUGCUCGAAAGUGUGGGUAUCAAACAGGAUUAGAUACCCGGGUAGUC
RNAcentral lists this ribosomal RNA (460 nucleotides) under uncultured bacterium. RNAcentral describes it as "partial 16S ribosomal RNA". It matches the Rfam family "Bacterial small subunit ribosomal RNA", at positions 338 to 795 of the family's 1533-position model. The record is from RNAcentral.